GCCCGAGUGAUGGAAUUGGUAGACGUGACGGACUCAAAAUCCGUUGGCAGCAAUGCCGUGUGGGUUCGAGUCCCACCUCGGGCACCA
RNAcentral lists this transfer RNA (87 nucleotides) under Atopobium sp. Its description in RNAcentral is "tRNA-Leu". It matches the Rfam family "tRNA". Rfam says of the family: Transfer RNA (tRNA) molecules are approximately 80 nucleotides in length. Their secondary structure includes four short double-helical elements and three loops (D, anti-codon, and T loops). Further hydrogen bonds mediate the characteristic L-shaped molecular structure. tRNAs have two regions of fundamental functional importance: the anti-codon, which is responsible for specific mRNA codon recognition, and the 3' end, to which the tRNAs corresponding amino acid is attached (by aminoacyl-tRNA synthetases). tRNAs cope with the degeneracy of the genetic code in two manners: having more than one tRNA (with a specific anti-codon) for a particular amino acid; and 'wobble' base-pairing, i.e. permitting non-standard base-pairing at the 3rd anti-codon position. RNAcentral also lists the same sequence under 6 other names. The record is from RNAcentral. Lineage: Bacteria; Bacillati; Actinomycetota; Coriobacteriia; Coriobacteriales; Atopobiaceae.